AGCUAGUUGGUAAGGUAACGGCUUACCAAGGCGACGAUGUCUAGGGGGUUUGAGAGGAUGAUCCCCCACACUGGUACUGAGACACGGACCAGACUCCUACGGGAGGCAGCAGUGAGGAAUAUUGGGCAAUGGGCGCAAGCCUGACCCAGCCAUGCCGCGUGCAGGAUGAAGGUCCUAUGGAUCGUAAACUGCUUUUGUAUGGGAAGAACUUCCCGCAUUCGUGCGGGAUUGACGGUACUAUACGAAUAAGGACCGGCUAACUCCGUGCCAGCAGCCGCGGUAAUACGGAGGGUCCAAGCGUUAUCCGGAUUCACUGGGUUUAAAGGGUGCGUAGGUGGAACGAUAAGUCGAUGGUGAAAGCCUACAGCUUAACUGUAGAAUUGCCAUUGAUACUGUUGUUCUUGAGUAUAGUCGGGGGAAGUGGAAUGCGUAAUGUAGCGGUGAAAUGCAUAGAUAUUACGCAGAACACCGAUCGCGAAAGCAGCUUCCUAGGCUAUUACUGACACUGAGGCACGAAAGCGUGGGGAGCGAACAGGAUUAGAUACCCUGGUAGUCCACGCCGUAAACGAUGCUCACUCGCUGUUGGCGAUAUAUUGUCAGCAGUUGAGCUAAAGCAUUAAGUGAGCCACCUGGGAAGUACGUCCGCAAGGAUGAAACUCAAAGGAAUUGACGGGGGCCCGCACAACCGGUGGAACAUGUGGUUCAAUUCGAUGAUACGCGAGGAACCUUACCUGGGCUUAAAUGUAGUUUGACUUCCGCCGAAAGGCGGUUUUCCUUCGGGACAAAUUACAAGGUGCUGCACGGCUGUCGUCAGCUCGUGCCGUGAGGUAUCGGGUUAAGUCCCUUAACGAGCGCAACCCCUAUUGUUAGUUACCAACAGGUUAAGCUGGGGACUCUAGCAAAACUGCCAGCGUAAGCUGGAGGAAGGUGGGGAUGACGUCAAGUCAGCAUGGCCCUUACGUCCAGGGCUACACACGUGUUACAAUGGCCGAUACAAAGGGCAGCCACCACGCGAGUGGGAGCUAAUCCUUAAAAUCGGUCUCAGUUCGGAUCGAA
RNAcentral lists this ribosomal RNA (1056 nucleotides) under uncultured organism. Its description in RNAcentral is "bacterial SSU rRNA". It matches the Rfam family "Bacterial small subunit ribosomal RNA", at positions 243 to 1302 of the family's 1533-position model. The record is from RNAcentral.